Molecule: ribosomal RNA, 429 nt
Filed under: Chloroflexota bacterium
Lineage: Bacteria; Bacillati; Chloroflexota
Description: Chloroflexi bacterium partial 16S ribosomal RNA
Rfam family: Bacterial small subunit ribosomal RNA
Source: RNAcentral
UGGGGAAUAUUGCACAAUGGGCGCAAGCCUGAUGCAGCCAUGCCGCGUGUAUGAAGAAGGCCUUCGGGUUGUAAAGUACUUUCAGCGGGGAGGAAGGGAGUAAAGUUAAUACCUUUGCUCAUUGGCGUUACCCGCAGAAGAAGCACCGGCUAACUCCGUGCCAGCAGCCGCGGUAAUACGGAGGGUGCAAGCGUUAAUCGGAAUUACUGGGCGUAAAGCGCACGCAGGCGGUUUGUUAAGUCAGAUGUGAAAUCCCCGGGCUCAACCUGGGAACUGCAUCUGAUACUGGCAAGCUUGAGUCUCGUAGAGGGGGGUAGAAUUCCAGGUGUAGCGGUGAAAUGCGUAGAGAUCUGGAGGAAUACCGGUGGCGAAGGCGGCCCCCUGGACGAAGACUGACGCUCAGGUGCGAAAGCGUGGGGAGCAAACAGG